Streptomyces sparsogenes DSM 40356 is the source of this 76-nucleotide non-coding RNA. The record is from Rfam. Lineage: Bacteria; Bacillati; Actinomycetota; Actinomycetes; Kitasatosporales; Streptomycetaceae.
GGGGAACCCGGUGGGAGUCCGGGGCUGACGCGCAGCGGUGUGGGACGGCAGGGGGCCGUCCCGAGCCCGAAUGCCC